Molecule: ribosomal RNA, 500 nt
Filed under: uncultured bacterium
Lineage: Bacteria
Description: partial 16S ribosomal RNA
Rfam family: Bacterial small subunit ribosomal RNA
Source: RNAcentral
AUUGAACGCUGGCGGCAUGCCUUACACAUGCAAGUCGAACGGCAGCGCGGACUUCGGUCUGGCGGCGAGUGGCGAACGGGUGAGUAAUACAUCGGAACGUACCCUGUUGUGGGGGAUAACUAGUCGAAAGAUUAGCUAAUACCGCAUACGACCUGAGGGUGAAAGUGGGGGACCGCAAGGCCUCACGCAGCAGGAGCGGCCGAUGUUGGAUUAGCUAGUUGGUGGGGUAAAGGCCCACCAAGGCGACGAUCAGUAGCUGGUCUGAGAGGACGAUCAGCCACGCUGGGACUGAGACACGGCCCAGACUCCUACGGGAGGCAGCAGUGGGGAAUUUUGGACAAUGGGGGCAACCCUGAUCCAGCAAUGCCGCGUGUGUGAAGAAGGCCUUCGGGUUGUAAAGCACUUUUGUCCGGAAAGAAAUCGCGCUGGUUAAUACCUGGCGUGGAUGACGGUACCGGAAGAAUGAGCACCGGCUAACUACGUGCCAGCCGCCGCCGUAA